Molecule: ribosomal RNA, 229 nt
Filed under: uncultured bacterium
Lineage: Bacteria
Description: partial 16S ribosomal RNA
Rfam family: Bacterial small subunit ribosomal RNA
Source: RNAcentral
UGCGCAGGCGGAAUGAUAAGUCAGUGGUGAAAGCCUACAGCUUAACUGUAGAAAUGCCAUUGAUACUGUCGUUCUUGAGUACAGUUGAAGUGGGCGGAAUGUGUCAUGUAGCGGUGAAAUGCAUAGAUAUGACACAGAACACCGAUAGCGAAGGCAGCUCACUAAGCUGAAACUGACGCUCAGGCACGAAAGCGUGGGGAGCAAACAGGAUUAGAUACCCUGGUAGUCC